RNAcentral lists this ribosomal RNA (197 nucleotides) under uncultured bacterium. Its description in RNAcentral is "partial 16S ribosomal RNA". It matches the Rfam family "Bacterial small subunit ribosomal RNA", at positions 335 to 524 of the family's 1533-position model. The record is from RNAcentral.
ACUCCUACGGGAGGCAGCAGUGGGGAAUUUUGGACAAUGGGCGAAAGCCUGAUCCAGCAACGCCGCGUGCAGGAUGAAGGCCUUCGGGUUGUAAACUGCUUUUAUACGGAACGAAAAAGCUUCUCCUAAUGCGAGAGGCCCAUGACGGUACCGUAAGAAUAAGCACCGGCUAACUACGUGCCAGCAGCCGCGGUAAU